CUGCACACCAAAAAGUGAAAUGUUAGGUCAAUACCAAGAUCACUUAAUUUCCAUUAGGUCCACGCCAAAUUCACCGAAUUGAAAUUUUUAACCUUUUUUUCUACAAAUACACUUCUAUCUACAGACGUUAAUUGUUUGAAAAUUGCAUUGUUGGAAGCUAUUUACUUAUGCAGACUGCGAGAAAAUCAUAUUAGAGCUGCUCGGCAACUAUAUUAACAUAUGGAUCAUACAACCUUGCUGUAAGCUGUUCAUAAUGUAGAAAAUGAUAUUGAUGCUCUGUGUGCGGGCCAUUGGUUUGCUUAUUUAACAGAGGUGGGAUAAAUUUGUAGAUUCAUACAAUGUCAUGUGCUUUUUCAAUGGUGACAAAUUAUUGGAUUCAGGGUCAUGCUCUUUACCAAACCGGUUCUUUUCCUUGAAGAAAAACUCAAGAUUAGAAAUUAAAUAAAGUUUGAGCUCGGUCAAGUUUCAUGUUUCUUCCUCAACUAGUAUUUAGUUCAAUAGUAAUAUGUUUUGAGCACUAGCACCAUAUUUUG
This is a non-coding RNA of Lactuca sativa (garden lettuce), 533 nucleotides long. The record is from RefSeq and is a predicted model, not a curated record. NCBI's taxonomy places the organism in Eukaryota, Viridiplantae, Streptophyta, Magnoliopsida, Asterales, Asteraceae.